This 497-nucleotide ribosomal RNA is filed under the name uncultured bacterium. Its description in RNAcentral is "partial 16S ribosomal RNA". It matches the Rfam family "Bacterial small subunit ribosomal RNA", at positions 28 to 507 of the family's 1533-position model. The record is from RNAcentral.
GACGAACGCUGGCGGCGUGCCUAAUACAUGCAAGUUGAGCGCUGAAGGUUGGUACUUGUACCAACUGGAUGAGCAGCGAACGGGUGAGUAACGCGUGGGGAAUCUGCCUUUGAGCGGGGGACAACAUUUGGAAACGAAUGCUAAUACCGCAUAAAAACUUUAAACACAAGUUUUAAGUUUGAAAGAUGCAAUUGCAUCACUCAAGGAUGAUCCCGCGUUGUAUUAGCUAGUUGGUGAGGUAAAGGCUCACCAAGGCGAUGAUACAUAGCCGACCUGAGAGGGUGAUCGGCCACAUUGGGACUGAGACACGGCCCAAACUCCUACGGGAGGCAGCAGUAGGGAAUCUUCGGCAAUGGACGAAAGUCUGACCGAGCAACGCCGCGUGAGUGAAGAAGGUUUUCGGAUCGUAAAACUCUGUUGGUAGAGAAGAACGUUGGUGAGAGUGGAAAGCUCGUCAAGUGACGGUAACUACCCAGAAAGGGACGGCUAACUACGUG